This 460-nucleotide ribosomal RNA is filed under the name uncultured bacterium. Its description in RNAcentral is "partial 16S ribosomal RNA". It matches the Rfam family "Bacterial small subunit ribosomal RNA", at positions 338 to 795 of the family's 1533-position model. The record is from RNAcentral.
CCUACGGGAGGCAGCAGUGAGGAAUAUUGGUCAAUGGGCGCGAGCCUGAACCAGCCAAGUCGCGUGAGGGAAGACGGCCCUACGGGUUGUAAACCUCUUUUGCCGGGGAGCAACGGGCGCCACGUGUGGCGCCACUGAGAGUACCCGGCGAAAAAGCAUCGGCUAACUCCGUGCCAGCAGCCGCGGUAAUACGGAGGAUGCGAGCGUUAUCCGGAUUUAUUGGGUUUAAAAGGUGCGUGGGCGGGGCGUUAAUUCAGUGGUAAAAUUGAGGGGCUCAACCCCUUCCCGCCAUUGAAACUGGCGCUCUUGAGUGGAAGAGAAGUAUGCGGAAUGCGUGGUGUAGCGGUGAAAUGCGUAGAUAUCAGGAGGAACACCGGUGGCGAAGGCGGCCUGCUGGACUGCAACUGACGUUGAGGCCCGAAAGCGUGGGGAGCAAACAGGAUUAGAUACCCCUGUAGUC